Long non-coding RNA from Ailuropoda melanoleuca (giant panda), 273 nucleotides. RefSeq lists it as uncharacterized. The record is from RefSeq and is a predicted model, not a curated record. NCBI's taxonomy places the organism in Eukaryota, Metazoa, Chordata, Mammalia, Carnivora, Ursidae. The transcript has 3 exons.
GGGAUCCAAAGAUGACCCCAGCUCAGUCCCAAGGCCAGUGAGUAACCAGGUGCCAAUACCCAUGAAGCCCAUUGCACAUUGCUUUCUUACCAACCAUGGAAUUCCAGGGUUUGUGAUUGCUUAGGAAAACAAUCUUUUCAAUAUUAAAAGAGAAAUGCCUGAUUGCUCACACCAUAUAGAGGCCCAACUCAGAUGGAAGCUCACCUAUAACGCUCCUGAAAUAAGACAGCCUCUGUUUAUCUAAGUAAUCAUAACAAAAUUCAAUAGUGUAAG